UUGAAAUGGGUUGGUUUAAUCUUGCCUCAAAUGCAACCAUUAUUUACUUUUCUUUUAUUGUUUAUACAUCAGCUAUAUGCUUGUUGAUUAAAUGAAGUACAAUUUUUAAAACAUGUUUUUUAUUCCAGUGAAUGGUCCAGAUUCACAGGAGAAUAUUCAAGUCCCUUCAAAUCGUUGACAAACUUCUAUCCGUCAACACCACCCUGGACAACUGGAAAACCCUUAGAAU
Long non-coding RNA from Pomacea canaliculata, 229 nucleotides. RefSeq lists it as uncharacterized. The record is from RefSeq and is a predicted model, not a curated record. Lineage: Eukaryota; Metazoa; Mollusca; Gastropoda; Architaenioglossa; Ampullariidae. The transcript is spliced from 2 exons.